CUUCGGGGGUGCUCGAGUGGCGAACGGGUGAGUAACACGUGGGUGAUCUGCCUCGUACUCUGGGAUAAGCCUGGGAAACUGGGUCUAAUACUGGAUAGGACCGCACUUUAGUGUGUGUGGUGGAAAGUUUUUUCGGUACGAGAUGAGCCCGCGGCCUAUCAGCUUGUUGGUGGGGUAAUGGCCUACCAAGGCGUCGACGGGUAGCCGGCCUGAGAGGGUGGACGGCCACAUUGGGACUGAGAUACGGCCCAGACUCCUACGGGAGGCAGCAGUGGGGAAUAUUGCACAAUGGGCGCAAGCCUGAUGCAGCGACGCCGCGUGAGGGAUGACGGCCUUCGGGUUGUAAACCUCUUUCGACAGGGACGAAGCUUUUUGUGACGGUACCUGUAUAAGAAGCACCGGCUAACUACGUGCCAGCAGCCGCGGUAAUACGUAGGGUGCGAGCGUUGUCCGGAAUUACUGGGCGUAAAGAGCUCGUAGGUGGUUUGUCGCGUCGUCUGUGAAAUUCCGGGGCUUAACUCCGGGCGUGCAGGCGAUACGGGCAUAACUUGAGUGCUGUAGGGGAGACUGGAAUUCCUGGUGUAGCGGUGGAAUGCGCAGAUAUCAGGAGGAACACCGAUGGCGAAGGCAGGUCUCUGGGCAGUAACUGACGCUGAGGAGCGAAAGCAUGGGGAGCGAACAGGAUUAGAUACCCUGGUAGUCCAUGCCGUAAACGGUGGGCGCUAGGUGUGAGGGUCUUCCACGACUUUCGUGCCGUAGCUAACGCAUUAAGCGCCCGCCUGGGGAGUACGGCCGCAAGGCUAAA
This 805-nucleotide ribosomal RNA is filed under the name Corynebacterium pseudotuberculosis. RNAcentral's name for it is "bacterial SSU rRNA". It matches the Rfam family "Bacterial small subunit ribosomal RNA", at positions 78 to 898 of the family's 1533-position model. The record is from RNAcentral. Lineage: Bacteria; Bacillati; Actinomycetota; Actinomycetes; Mycobacteriales; Corynebacteriaceae.